RNAcentral lists this ribosomal RNA (449 nucleotides) under uncultured bacterium. Its description in RNAcentral is "partial 16S ribosomal RNA". It matches the Rfam family "Bacterial small subunit ribosomal RNA", at positions 354 to 796 of the family's 1533-position model. The record is from RNAcentral.
GUCGAGAAUCUUUCACAAUGGGGGCAACCCUGAUGGAGCGACGCCGCGUGGAGGAUAAGGUCUUCGGAUUGUAAACUCCUGUCAUGCGUGAACAAGGUUGCUUGGUUAAUACCUGGGCAAAUUGAUGGUAACGCAAGAGGAAGAGACGGCUAACUCUGUGCCAGCAGCCGCGGUAAUACAGAGGUCUCAAGCGUUGUUCGGAAUCACUGGGCGUAAAGGGUGCGUAGGUGGCGGGGUAAGUCAGAUGUGAAAGCCCGGGGCUCAACCUCGAAACUGCAUCCGAUCCUGCCAUGCUAGAGUACUGGAGAGGUGACUAGAAUUCUCGGUGUAGCAGUGAAAUGCGUAGAUAUCGAGAGGAAUACCAAAGGCGUAGGCAGGUCACUGGACAGUUACUGACACUGAGGCACGAAGGCCAGGGGAGCGAACGGGAUUAGAUACCCCUGUAGUCC